UUGGAUUCCAAGUUGGAGAAAACAUAUAUAUUAUUUUUGUUAAUUCUAUUCUUUUCUUUUUCUAAUUGUUAACACUUCAUUUUAUUUAGAUAUCUAUGAGAAGAUCGAGAGAGAAUGAAUAUCGAAUGAAGUUCCCAGAUGAUUUAGAGGCCGGUUAACAUGAUGGUUGGAAUGGUUUUGUAAUGCUUGUAAAUCCCCGGGACGUGAAGACUCGCUGUGUAUGGUUUGUACGUUGUUUAAAGCUUAUGUUCUUCAAAGUUGAAGGGGCAAGUUGUCAUUGGUGAAGUUCGUGUGUGACCGAAUUGAAGGAGUUAUGGAGAUUGGAUUUUGGGGCUUUUGCUUCUAAUCGCCUGUAAGUUGCGCUAUCUUAUUCGGUUCAGAUAUUAGAAGAUGGUGUGAUACCUCUCACCCCAAGUGAUGUUUUCAUAGAUGCUCUAGUAUCACCAUCGGGUUUCAUCCCUAUUACCUCAGCGGCCAAGGAAAUUAUUCCUUGAGACAUUUUUGCUGAAAUUCUUGUAAAACAAUGUAGUUUUGACUAUAAAAUUCAA
This 548-nucleotide long non-coding RNA is filed under the name Helianthus annuus (common sunflower). RNAcentral's name for it is "sRNA HanXRQr2_Chr13g0611861". Lineage: Eukaryota; Viridiplantae; Streptophyta; Magnoliopsida; Asterales; Asteraceae. The record is from RNAcentral.